This 497-nucleotide ribosomal RNA is filed under the name uncultured bacterium. Its description in RNAcentral is "partial 16S ribosomal RNA". It matches the Rfam family "Bacterial small subunit ribosomal RNA", at positions 28 to 507 of the family's 1533-position model. The record is from RNAcentral.
GAUGAACGCUGGCGGCGUGCCUAAUACAUGCAAGUCGAGCGAACGGACGAGAAGCUUGCUUCUCUGAUGUUAGCGGCGGACGGGUGAGUAACACGUGGAUAACCUACCUAUAAGACUGGGAUAACUUCGGGAAACCGGAGCUAAUACCGGAUAAUAUUUUGAACCGCAUGGUUCAAAAGUGAAAGACGGUCUUGCUGUCACUUAUAGAUGGAUCCGCGCUGCAUUAGCUAGUUGGUAAGGUAACGGCUUACCAAGGCAACGAUGCAUAGCCGACCUGAGAGGGUGAUCGGCCACACUGGAACUGAGACACGGUCCAGACUCCUACGGGAGGCAGCAGUAGGGAAUCUUCCGCAAUGGGCGAAAGCCUGACGGAGCAACGCCGCGUGAGUGAUGAAGGUCUUCGGAUCGUAAAACUCUGUUAUUAGGGAAGAACAUAUGUGUAAGUAACUGUGCACAUCUUGACGGUACCUAAUCAGAAAGCAACGGAUAACUACGUG